CCCAGACUCCUACGGGAGGCAGCAGUCGGGAAUAUUGCGCAAUGGAGGAAACUCUGACGCAGUGACGCGGCGUAUAGGAAGAAGGUUUUCGGAUUGUAAACUAUUGUCGUUAGGGAAGAUAAAAGACAGUACCUAAGGAGGAAGCUCCGGCUAACUACGUGCCAGCAGCCGCGGUAAUACGUAGGGGGCGAGCGUUAUCCGGAUUCACUGGGUGUAAAGGGAGCGUAGACGGCCAUGCAAGCCAGGGGUGAAAGCCCGGGGCCCAACCCCGGGACUGCCCUUGGAACUGUGCGGCUAGAGUGCGGGAGGGGCAGGCGGAAUUCCUGGUGUAGCGGUGAAAUGCGUAGAUAUCAGGAGGAACACCGGCGGCGAAGGCGGCCUGCUGGACCGCGACUGACGUUGAGGCUCGAAAGCGCGGGGAGCGAACAGGAUUAGAUACCCCUGUAAAU
This 449-nucleotide ribosomal RNA is filed under the name uncultured bacterium. RNAcentral's name for it is "bacterial SSU rRNA". It matches the Rfam family "Bacterial small subunit ribosomal RNA", at positions 330 to 794 of the family's 1533-position model. The record is from RNAcentral.